RNAcentral lists this ribosomal RNA (680 nucleotides) under Volvolepiota velosa. RNAcentral's name for it is "eukaryotic LSU rRNA". The stretch from base 294 to 447 matches the Rfam family "5.8S ribosomal RNA". Lineage: Eukaryota; Fungi; Basidiomycota; Agaricomycetes; Agaricales; Agaricaceae. The record is from RNAcentral.
GUGAACCUGCGGAAGGAUCAUUAUUGAAUAUACUUGAUGGGUUGUAGCUGGCUUUUCGGAGCAAUGUGCACGCCUGUCUUGAUAUCAUUCAUCCACCUGUGCACCUUUUGUAGUCUUCUUGGGGAUUGUGAGUGGCCGACUAUCGAGAAGUCUUCUCGGAUGUGAAGAAUGCUUGCAGAAUGCAGCUCUCUUCAAAUGGUCGCUACGUUUCCUGGAGGUCUAUGUUUUCAUAUACCACAUAGUAUGUUAUAGAAUGUAUUAAAUGGGCCUUUGUGCCUAUAAAUUAUCUAUACAACUUUCAGCAACGGAUCUCUUGGCUCUCGCAUCGAUGAAGAACGCAGCGAAAUGCGAUAAGUAAUGUGAAUUGCAGAAUUCAGUGAAUCAUCGAAUCUUUGAACGCACCUUGCGCUCCUUGGUAUUCCGAGGAGCAUGCCUGUUUGAGUGUCAUUAAAUUCUCAACUCCUCCAGCUUUUGCAAGCUGGCUUAGGAGCUUGGAUAUGGAGGUUUUGCUGGCCUUUACAGAUCAGCUCCUCUGAAAUGCAUUAGCGGAACCGUUUGCGAUCCGUCACAGGUGUGAUAAUUAUCUACGCCGUGUGAUCGCUCUCUGUCUGUUCAGCUGCCAAUCGUCCAGUCUGGACAAUCAUUUGAAUACUUGACCUCAAAUCAGGUAGGACUACCCG